Molecule: non-coding RNA, 115 nt
Organism: Triticum aestivum (bread wheat)
Lineage: Eukaryota; Viridiplantae; Streptophyta; Magnoliopsida; Poales; Poaceae
Source: Rfam
CUUGUACUCCCUCCGUCCCAUAUUAGUUGUCGCUGAAAUGGAUAUAUCUAGAUGUAUUUCAGUGCUAGAUCUAUCCCUUUGAGCGACAACUACUAUGGGACAGAGGGAGUAGUUU